UCCGAGGGGCAUGCCUGUUCGAGCGUCAUUACACCACUCAAGCUAUGCUUGGUAUUGGGUGCCGUCCUUAGUUGGGCGCGCCUUAAAGACCUCGGCGAGGCCUCACCGGCUUUAGGCGUAGUAGAAUUUAUUCGAACGUCUGUCAAAGGAGAGGACUUCUGCCGACUGAAACCUUUUAUUUUUUCUAGGUUGACCUCGGAUCAGGUAGGGAUACCCGCUGAACUUAAGCAUAUCAAUAAGCGGAGGAAAAGAAACCAACAGGGAUUGCCCUAGUAACGGCGAGUGAAGCGGCAACAGCUCAAAUUUGAAAGCUGGCCUUCGGGUCCGCAUUGUAAUUUGUAGAGGAUGCUUUGGGUGAAACGCCAGUCUAAGUUCCUUGGAACAGGACGUCAUAGAGGGUGAGAAUCCCGUAUGUGACUGGAAAUGUUAACCUAUGUAAAGCUCCUUCGACGAGUCGAGUUGUUUGGGAAUGCAGCUCUAAAUGGGAGGUAAAUUUCUUCUAAAGCUAAAUAUUGGCGAGAGACCGAUAGCGCACAAGUAGAGUGAUCGAAAGAUGAAAAGCACUUUGGAAAGAGAGUUAAAAAGCACGUGAAAUUGUUGAAAGGGAAGCGCUUGCAAUCAGACUUGUUUAAACUGUUCGGCCGGUCUUCUGACCGGUUUACUCAGUUUGGACAGGCCAGCAUCAGUUUCGGCGGCCGGAUAAAGGCUCUGGGAAUGUGGCCUUCACUUCGGUGAAGGUGUUAUAGCCCAGUGUGUAAUACGGCCAGCCGGGACUGAGGUCCGCGC
Molecule: ribosomal RNA, 786 nt
Filed under: Aureobasidium pullulans
Lineage: Eukaryota; Fungi; Ascomycota; Dothideomycetes; Dothideales; Saccotheciaceae
Description: eukaryotic LSU rRNA
Rfam family: Eukaryotic large subunit ribosomal RNA (bases 191-786)
Source: RNAcentral